AUUGGUAGUAGCUUCUAGAAAAUAUCAUAGGAAGGCCACACUUUUUUUUUUCUCCUUGGGCUUACAUAUUCUUUCCCCUCCAAGCCCAUAUAUUUUGUUAUAGAGAAACCCUACAGAUACAGGGGAUUAGAGACAUAGGAACAGAGAAAAAUUAGGGAAGUACGUAACCUUUUCUUUCUUCUCCAGCAUCGACAAUACCAUUUUCUCAUCACCCAAGAAUUCUCAUCUACUCACCUAAUCUCUAACAAAAAACACCAGCGACCAGACCACCUAGAAACAGCCCCAGAAAAGCACAAAAUCGACCCGAAUCAGCCCCAGAAAUGCUGAAAUUCAGCUCCCAAAACAGCUCCAAACUCAGCCACUCAAAACAAGCAAAAUAGUUGCAAAAAUGACUCAAAAACACAGCCACGAAACUCCUUUCCACCUGAAACCAACGUGAAAAUUGGCCAAAACGCGGCUGAAAAUCAGCUGAAAUCUGACAUUGAAAUGCACCAAAAAUCAGCCGCGAAUCAGCUCGAAACCAACUGUUUUCAUCCAUAAAUUAAGCAAGGUCCGACUCUGUCACCUCGAUUUUGGUCGAGUUAGAAGAGGUCGAAGUUUGAGCAAAAGGUGAUGAAUUCGUGGAUGUUCGUUUGAAUGCCGUCGGGGUUUGAAGUGUCUGUUUUGGUGCUCAUUUGGCAGAUUACGCUUCUGUUCGUCGAGCUUUAGUUACUGCCUUCAAGUGUAUUAUUUUUCAAACAUCAAAUUGAUUGAAACUUCAUCUUCCAGGUUUACAUGUUCGGUGGGUGUCUUGACCUGGCCUCGUCACUACUCUACCGAGGUUAGGCUUGAUACUUACUGGGUACUACUAUGGUGUACACAUGCUAUGCUUCUGCACAUUUUUUUGUGCAGAACCAGAUACUUCGGAUCGAGUUGGUUUUGAGACUUAUGCUUUGUGGCUGGAGACUUCAAGGUACACCUGCGGAGCGUUCGCAGGCUCCGAAGUCACCCUCUAUUGUAUUUAUUUCCAUUGUUUCCUUCUAUUCCGGAACAGUGAUGUAUUCAAUAUGUCUAAUUACUUCUAGAAGGGCUUAUGACUUGUACUACCGGUUUUGGGAUACCGUAUCAUGUUGAGACUA
Long non-coding RNA from Nicotiana attenuata, 1118 nucleotides. RefSeq lists it as uncharacterized. The record is from RefSeq and is a predicted model, not a curated record. NCBI's taxonomy places the organism in Eukaryota, Viridiplantae, Streptophyta, Magnoliopsida, Solanales, Solanaceae. The transcript has 2 exons.